GACGAACGCUGGCGGCGUGCUUAACACAUGCAAGUCGAACGGUGAAGCGCCUUCCUUUUUGGUGGGUGUGGAUGAGUGGCGAACGGGUGAGUAACACGUGAGUAACCUGCCCCCUUCUUCUGGAUAACCGCAUGAAAGUGUGGCUAAUACGGGAUAUUCUGGGUCUGUCGCAUGAUGGGUCUGGGAAAGAUAUUGUUUCGGUGGGGGAUGGGCUCGCGGCCUAUCAGCUUGUUGGUGGGGUGAUGGCCUACCAAGGCGGUGACGGGUAGCCGGCCUGAGAGGGUGGACGGUCACACUGGGACUGAGACACGGCCCAGACUCCUACGGGAGGCAGAAGUGGGGAAUAUUGCACAAUGGGCGCAAGCCUGAUGCAGCGACGCCGCGGGAGGGAUGGAGGCCUUCGGGUUGUGAACCUCUUUCGCCAGUGAAGCAGGCCUGCCUCGUUUGUGGGUGGGUUGACGGUAGCUGGAUAAGAAGCGCCGGCUAACUACGUG
This 494-nucleotide ribosomal RNA is filed under the name uncultured bacterium. Its description in RNAcentral is "partial 16S ribosomal RNA". It matches the Rfam family "Bacterial small subunit ribosomal RNA", at positions 28 to 507 of the family's 1533-position model. The record is from RNAcentral.